Molecule: ribosomal RNA, 138 nt
Filed under: Vibrio cholerae
Lineage: Bacteria; Pseudomonadati; Pseudomonadota; Gammaproteobacteria; Vibrionales; Vibrionaceae
Description: partial 16S ribosomal RNA
Rfam family: Bacterial small subunit ribosomal RNA
Source: RNAcentral
UUAAUUGAAGAGUUUGAUCAUGGCUCAGAUUGAACGCUGGCGGCAGGCCUAACACAUGCAAGUCGAGCGGCAGCACAGAGGAACUUGUUCCUUGGGUGGCGAGCGGCGGACGGGUGAGUAAUGCCUGGGAAAUUGCCC